This 774-nucleotide ribosomal RNA is filed under the name uncultured organism. RNAcentral's name for it is "bacterial SSU rRNA". It matches the Rfam family "Bacterial small subunit ribosomal RNA", at positions 572 to 1338 of the family's 1533-position model. The record is from RNAcentral.
UAGGCGGCGUACUAAGUCGGGUGUGAAAUCCCUCGGCUCAACCGAGGAACUGCACUCGAUACUGGUAUGCUUGAGGACAGGAGAGGAGAGCGGAAUUCCAGGUGUAGCGGUGAAAUGCGUAGAUAUCUGGGAGAAGGCCGGCGGCGAAGGCGGCUCUCUGGACUGUUCCUGACGCUGAGGUACGAAAGCUAGGGGAGCGAACGGGAUUAGAUACCCCGGUAGUCCUAGCUGUAAACGAUGGGCACUUCGUAUGGGGGACUCCGAUGUCCUCCUUGCGGGAGCGAAAGCAUUAAGUGCCCCGCCUGGGGAGUAUGGUCUCAAGGCUGAAACUCAAAGGAAUUGACGGGGGCUCACACAAGCGGUGGAGCAUGUUGUUUAAUUCGAGGCAACGCGAAGAACCUUACCCGGGUUUGACAUGCUGGGAUUAACCCUGUGAAAGCAGGGGGAUUGCCUUAACCGGUGUAACCAGCACAGGUGCUGCAUGGCUGUCGUCAGCUCGUGUCGUGAGAUGUUGGGUUCAGUCCCGUAACGAGCGAAACCCUUGUCGUCUGUUGCUAACGUGUAAUGGCGAGCACUCUGACGAGACUGCCGGUGAUAAGCCGGAGGAAGGCGGGGACGACGUCAAGUCAUCAUGGUCCUUACGUCCGGGGCGACAAACGUGCUACAAUGACCGGUACAGAGAGAAGCGAUACCGCGAGAUGGAGCAAAUCUUCAAAGCCGGCCUCAGUUCGGAUUGGAGGCUGCAAUUCGCCUCCAUGAAGUUGGAAUCGCUAG